RNAcentral lists this ribosomal RNA (529 nucleotides) under Idiomarina loihiensis. RNAcentral's name for it is "bacterial SSU rRNA". It matches the Rfam family "Bacterial small subunit ribosomal RNA", at positions 8 to 526 of the family's 1533-position model. The record is from RNAcentral. Lineage: Bacteria; Pseudomonadati; Pseudomonadota; Gammaproteobacteria; Alteromonadales; Idiomarinaceae.
AGAGUUUGAUCCUGGCUCAGAUUGAACGCUGGCGGCAGGCCUAACACAUGCAAGUCGAGCGGUAACAGAGAGAAGCUUGCUUCUCUGCUGACGAGCGGCGGACGGGUGAGUAAUACUUGGGAAUUUGCCUUUAGGCGGGGGACAACCACGGGAAACUGUGGCUAAUACCGCAUAAUGUCUACGGACCAAAGUGGGGGACCUUCGGGCCUCACACCUAAAGAUGAGCCCAAGCGGGAUUAGCUAGUUGGUGGGGUAAAGGCUCACCAAGGCGACGAUCCCUAGCUGUUCUGAGAGGAUGAUCAGCCACACUGGGACUGAGACACGGCCCAGACUCCUACGGGAGGCAGCAGUGGGGAAUAUUGCACAAUGGGGGAAACCCUGAUGCAGCCAUGCCGCGUGUGUGAAGAAGGCCUUCGGGUUGUAAAGCACUUUCAGCGACGAGGAAGGGUGUUGUGUUAAUAGUGCAGCACAUUGACGUUAGUCGCAGAAGAAGCACCGGCUAACUCCGUGCCAGCAGCCGCGGUAAUAC